Molecule: non-coding RNA, 1109 nt
Organism: Nerophis lumbriciformis (worm pipefish)
Lineage: Eukaryota; Metazoa; Chordata; Actinopteri; Syngnathiformes; Syngnathidae
Source: RefSeq, a predicted model, not a curated record
UCUCGCGUCACAGCAGCCAAUGAUACGUCUACUUAUAAGAUGUCUAUGCUUCCUUCAAUAAUGUCGGUGUCGGCAGCCCAAGAGUGUGGUAAUAAUCUGCCUGCUGUACACAGGAAGGAAACAUGGUUUGCUGCCGGCGGAAGCUUCCUGAAAAGACGGCAGCGUUACUCUACAUGGCUACAAGCACUUCCAUUUACCAUCCAGCGUGACUCUUCAGUUCAAAAGAGUGACCAUGGGGUUCUUGCUCACCUCCCUGACGAGACUAAGAGGGAUGCAACAACGUACAGACAUCCUGGAUGAAAACUAAGGCUUGCCAUCCAACCUGAUGGAGCUUGAGAGGAAUGGGUGAAACUGACUGCAGCUGAAAUGGACCAAAAGAACUCGUCUGACCCUCAUGAAGUCAUCAAUUAAUGAGGACAACUUUCUGAUUUGAUACUCUUUUUUUUUUUCUUUUUUUUUACUUUGUUUUAAAUAAUAUUGUAUUUUAUUUACUUACUUUUUUAGUAAAAACAACUCUGACCUCUGUUCAUUUACAUGGUAACAGUGCAGAAAUAUAGCAUACCACUCUUCCAUACAACUAACCUGAACUGUGAAAUGCGGUGGAAACCUCUCACUACUACAGGAACCUAUAGUUCCAGGAACUGAAAUUUCCUGCACUUUUGGUGGAAAGAGGCCUAUUGUCGACAGUCUCCUCUUCCCUUUUCUUCCACUGCAAGCCAAGCAGAUCAACUGACAGGGUAAAGAGGAUUUAAUUUUUUCUUCCUAAUCAUUGUCGUGACCUUGCAGUUAAAGUUUUGUGAUUUCAAACUGAGUGCACCACAAUGCUAGUUGUAAUGUGUGUGCGUCUAGGCAGGGCGGCUGAAUGCGAGGACAGUUCAAACAGUUAGGUUUGUUUGAUCAGGGAUGUGAACACAAUGAGAACAAAGUGGAACAUUUCUAUCAGCAGAAAGUGCUGCCACGCAAACCCAAAAUAAAAUUUUGAAAAUCAAGACUACAUUUCCUGCAAUUGGGUGCAUUUCUACACUACAUUUUCCCGUUUGGUGCAUUCUCAUCUACCAACCUCUUUUGGCUCUUUUUGACACUUACAUGUCACAGUUUUUACUUUUUAG